CAUAUUAUAGUUUUAAAAAAAAGCUUUUUUGAGCUGAAUUGGAGAAGCUGCUUAGAGAUGCUUACAGAUUAUUCUUCUCUUUUGCCCUAAUCUUUCUCUUUGGCAAGAGAUCAGCAGCAACGCAGCAGCAAGUUGCGACGCUGGUUCAGUUCCGGAGACGUGAAGCUCUAGUUUGUUUCCGGCGUUGGUUUGCUUCCGGCGACGUGCGGCUCUGAUUCGUUUCCGACUCUGGAUCUGUUUCUCUGUUUCUCUCUUUCCGACUCUGUUUCUCUUUUAUUUCAGGUGUCUCUGGUACCAGUCUUCUCAAUGCUGUCAAUUUGAUUGCUUAUAAUGUGUUCUACACUAGUAUCCCUGUUUCAGUCAGUCUCGUGGACAAAGAUCUUAGUGAAGGAACUGUGAUGCACCACCCACAGAUUUUAUAUUACUGCCAAGCAGGGAGCUAUUACUUGAGAGAACAGAGUGUGCGAAAAGGAGUUAAAUUGGCAUGCAGCUAAUUCUUACACAUAUUGUUCUUCUGUAUAUUUGUUAUAUUCUUCACUGUGUUGCAAGAAGAUUGAGAAAAUUCUAGUUGUGCCCGAAACUUGAAGAGCUUUGUUAGUUGCUAUAUUUUUCAAAAUCUAUCAUAUUAUUAGUAACUCUAGUAGUACAUACAAUUGGUUAUAUGAUGGUAAAAUGAGUAUAUUUGAUGCUUCUUUGAUCACUUUUUAUAUUCUUUGUAAAAUGAGUAUAUUUGAUGCUCCA
Camellia sinensis is the source of this 741-nucleotide non-coding RNA. The record is from RefSeq and is a predicted model, not a curated record. NCBI's taxonomy places the organism in Eukaryota, Viridiplantae, Streptophyta, Magnoliopsida, Ericales, Theaceae.